GAUCAGGUGGCGGAAUGGUAGACGCUAUGGCAACCACAUCUUGCAGGUUCGAUUCCUGCCCUGAUCA
This 67-nucleotide transfer RNA is filed under the name Chitinophaga varians. RNAcentral's name for it is "tRNA-Val". It matches the Rfam family "tRNA". Rfam says of the family: Transfer RNA (tRNA) molecules are approximately 80 nucleotides in length. Their secondary structure includes four short double-helical elements and three loops (D, anti-codon, and T loops). The record is from RNAcentral. Lineage: Bacteria; Pseudomonadati; Bacteroidota; Chitinophagia; Chitinophagales; Chitinophagaceae.